RNAcentral lists this long non-coding RNA (3363 nucleotides) under Hordeum vulgare. RNAcentral describes it as "long non-coding RNA (HVUL_LNC017249)". Lineage: Eukaryota; Viridiplantae; Streptophyta; Magnoliopsida; Poales; Poaceae. The record is from RNAcentral.
GACUUUUGCGUCAAAAGAAUAAAAACACUUGCUAGAAGAAUAUGAGAAUAGGAGAUGUCAGGAAAGAAACAGUUAGGCUGACCCACAAGCCAGGUAUAUAUUUCACGAUGCGAUGCUCGCCUGAAAUAUGAUGAUGCUUGUGAAAGGGACGUGGCGGUGGUUUGACAUGCCUAGUCCGCUUGCCGCCUUCGCAAGUAUGUCUUCCUUUCCAUCCACCCAUUUGAGUGUGCAUUUCAACCCCCUACUAUUCACCUCCGUGUUGAACCUUGAAUGCGGUACACGUCUAGUUUGCUCGCACAUGUGCUCACUGCAAGGACUCUGUCCGUCACGGUGCUCCCCGCUCAGGUGCAUCGAUGGAUACUGUACUACAGUAACCGACAAGUAUAAGUGUCUACACACAAAAAAAAUGCAUCCUUUGUUACACACAAGUUGAUUGUGUAAGUGUCGACAUUUGAAAUGUUUAAUUUUUAUUCUAAAUAAUUCAUCAAUUCCCCUCAGUCACCAGUGCGGUCAUCUUCCUCGCACAGUCUCACUCCGUCCCUCCAUUUUCCUCUCCCACUCUCUAUCUCCUUCAAAGAACGUUAGGAAUAAAUCUGAACACAGGCGCGUGGCGUGUCCGUGCUCGAGUUGGAGUCGCAGUGCGAUGUGUGCGUCGUGCGCGGAUCCGUGGCUAGCUAAACCUGAGAAUGGUUUCAUACUUGAACCAUACCCAUUCAUUUAUCUUUCAAAACCAUACUUGAACCAUACCCAUUUAAUGUCAUUUUUAGCCCAAUCAAAACCAUACCCAUUAUUUUUUUCACCCAAACCAAUUUAAACCCAAAACAUAACCAUGGGUUUAAACCCAGUACACAACCAUAGGUUUGCUUUAAUGUACAUAUAGUUACACAAAUUGACAUGUUAAGAAACAAAAAAGAUAGAAAAUGCAUAAGUGCAUCUACAACAGUUUAGAAAUAAAGUAAUCCUUGAGAUACAGUCAACACAGUAAGAGGCAAAAAAAAAAUGCUCAUGACUGAUAAGCUCACUAACAAGUGUAUUAAAACCAAAUUGCUUAGCGAAAGCACAAGAAAACACUUCUGAUUUUCAUCUUCUGUUUCUCCAUAAUACAUAAUUACAUAAUGCAUUACAGUAUGCACACGGAUCAAAGAUACUCGUUCUCGAUCGUAGUUGAUUAUUCCAUAUAACCAAUGCCUAAAAACCGGUUUGGACCCAUAGUUUAUAACCGUUAAUAACCAAACUGUUUAAACCCAUAACCAACUAUACCCAAACUGGUUUCUCCACAUACUCAAACCAAAACCAAACUAAAAAAAUUUCAGCCCAAUAAAACCUGGACCAAUCAAACCCAAAGUAAGAACCGAACCGUUACACCCGGUUUUUUAAUAACCAUUCUCACGUUUAUGGCUAGCUUGCUAGUUAGUUGGAGGCUGUUAGCUACAUGCAAGUGGUUAGCUAGUUUCAGGGAGUGGAUGAAUGCGCGCAGUUAGUUGCCGGUGUGGCUGCCCGUUGAGUGUGUGCGUGCGUUUGUGUACGUGUGGCUGCAUGCUCCGGGUCCAGUUUAGAAGGCCAUGUACAGUGGUUGAUAAUACAAUCUUAUCUUAAGGUUUACAUGUAUUUUGGAGAUAAUGUCUACAAAUGAUUAUCUUUUAGCAUUAUUACAUACCUCUCCUAUGUAUUAGUUAUGUGCGACGGUGUAUUUGUCGAGCCACAGAUUAUGCUAAAGAAAAACAACACCGUUCAUGUGCGCGAGGCGUUUUUCAUCACAAAAACCUUGUGUCCAGUAUGCUCCUUCCUUCACCUCCAUCUGAGCGAACAAGAGACAUAGCUAUCCCGGUAUGUCCCAACAGAACUCAAUACAAAAUACUGUGACAUAUAUAAACAUGUAUGUAUUAAAAAAUACAAAUACUAUGAAAAAAUAACUAUUUUUUGUUGAUAAAGUACAUAAUUAGUUUGAUCCUAAGUAAGAACCGUGUACACAUUCUUUCUCUCUCUGUUCGUUCAAUCGAACUAGAUAGCAUUAAUUAUUGGUAUGUAAUACUCCUUCCGUCAUAGUUUAGAGUCAUGCACAUGUAUCUAUAUCGUCAAUUUGAUUUAUAUAAAAUAUAUUGUUUAACAUAAAAAUUAUAUCAUUAGAAAAUAUAACAUCUAAAGUUUCUAAUGAUAUAUAUUUUGUUAUAUAUGCCUCUUAUUAAGUUGGGCAAAUUGAUGACCUAGGUAUAUGUGCCGGACUUGUAAAGUCUGUAGUGUGAAAUAUCUUGUGACUGGUAUAUGAUAUGAAUGUUCACAUCAACUGCCCCUCCAGGACAAUCAGUUUAUAUAUCGCCGCCAACUGGGUUCAUUCUAAUCAUUCUUCAUGCAUCAUUAAGCACCUUUUGUCUCCCACAUGAAUCCUUAGCACAAACAACGUGAUAACAUAAGUUUACUGCCAAUUGAGUGUGUUCUGUUCAUGUUUCAGAGCCAGCGAGGUUUACCAUCGUUCUCUUAUAUACAUGUGGCUGAGAAAACAAACACGUAUAAAUAAAAAGGACUAUGCUAGCUUGAGAAUUGGAAACAUCAGGAAGAGAACCCUCCGUAAUAUCCGAAGAACAUGUAGUACUGGGAACGGCAUGCCUCCAGGCCCGAGCUUUGCUACAUCUACGUAAAACUCUUACGAAACCUUACGUAACUGCUCACGUGGUCUAAUUUGGUUGGAAGGAAGUAAGGCUCAGGCCCAUCCCGACAGAAUAGGGGGGUGAUUAGGUUAGGGAAGGAAAGAAACGUAACAUUACGUAGUCUAUUUACGUAGGUAGGUGUAGCAUUUUUUUCUCCAGGCCCAUACCGGUAUCCACACCGUGCCCCCAAAUCGCACAAGUGUGUACAGUCUUAAGGACGACCCUUUAUUGCUGAGGACUUUAGUUGGAGAGAAAAGUCAGGUCUGAUGCCUCGUUCCUAAGGCUGUUCGUAAUGAGAGUAUCAUAUGUAGUAUCAUGCAUGUCAACUAAGCAAUUUUGAUGAGGUGACAUAGAAUUAAAUGAAGAAAGAGAGAGUUGAGUAUCAUAUUUGAUACCGUAUCAUAUUAAAUGAUGUGAUACUAUGUGUCUUGCAUGACAAUAAAUGAACUACCCUAUGGUAUUAACAUAUGAUACUAUGCAUUACGGAUGUGGUAUCAUACAUUAGUAUCAUAUGCAUGAUACUAGUAUAUGAUACUACCCAUUACAACCAGCCUAAGCACGAACCUGUUCAUGUCCCGAUCUAUGAGUCGCCUCCUCCCGGGAUUCGCCUCUAUGUGCCAGUGCGCCGCCUGAUCUGUGCCCUUGUUCACAUGUUCAUCUGUGUGCGUGUGCGUGACAUGCUCGGUAUUUCCCCUGAGGCUGCUCGUAAUGAGAGUAU